AGUCGCUGUUUGGGACGCUGGGUGUGCGGUGUUCUGUCUCCGCUCCCGUUUCGCUGUCACAGCCCGUUCCUUCCCGGAGCCCGGGACAGGCUGGGCGCGCGCCCGUGACGCGUGACCAAAACCAAAGACGGCCAUGAAGUGAGAUCGUGCAAAGUAGCAGAUAAAACGGGCAGCAUCACUAUUUCCGUGUGGGAUGAGAUCGGAGGUCUUAUACAGCCAGGGGAUAUUAUUCGGUUGACCAGAGGGUAUGCAUCCAUGUGGAAAGGAUGUCUGACACUUUAUACUGGAAGGGGUGGUGAACUUCAAAAAAUUGGGGAUCUAGGUGCGGUGCAGGCAGCCGCAAUGCGAGAUUCCAUACACUACUACCCUGGUAAUGAUCUCCACCCUGACCUGGAGGAGCCAUCCUCUCUAGGGGUGUAAGGUAAUUCAGCCUCCAUGUUAGCCUAGACAUUGGGUUGUAUUCAUAAAGUAUGGUACAGGCAAUGAGCCAAAUCAUCAGUCCAUUCUGUUUGGUUAAUGCUCUGCCAUCUACUUAAUGCCUGUCAAAUUGGAAGAUAUUUAAAAAGAGAAGCCACAAAUGGCACCAGAUAAAAAAGGAAAACUGUUUGCCACUGAGGGAAUAAGAUGCUUAUUUGGAGAACCUGUGGUUAAUAAUGAAGGAAAAGAAAUGAUCAUGCUAGCUUUUAAAGAUCAGAAACACUUAACGCUUUGCCUUUGUUAGAAGGGAAGUUAGGAUUCACUUAGAGUAGCAUUAAUAGAGUUAUGUGUUAUGAAAGGUCUUAGUGUCUGUUACUGAAAGGUUCAGGAUUCUGUCCUGACCUUCAUGUAUUCAUACAGAGGUGUUGAUAAUAAUGGAGGUCAGUUACGUGAAAAACCGUUAGAGGUCACUCAUUUCUUAAUGACUGCUCUUUGUCAGGGUCAGUCGAGGAUUUACCAAAACUGGUUCUGAUUUGUCUUCAGUAUGGUGAGGAGUAAUAAAAUGCUUCUUUGUAAUGUUAGUACACAUUAUAUGGUCAACUUACAGGAAGCACUUGGAUAAACUGGUGGCUAUGUAGCCUGUUGUUAUUAUUUAUUGCCUAGAAACCACUCUUAACCCUAAAUGAUUAUCUUUGCAGAUCCACAGUGAUCGAUCAAAAGAGGGACUGAAUGGGAGUGGGUGAAUGGAUCGGUGCAAAUCCAUUACCACUGCUGGAGAAACCACCCUGGAACCCUAAACAUGGUUCACUCUCAUGUUAUUUUUCCUUUGAUCAGCUUUUGUGGAAAAACAGGACAGAGAUGUUUUUGUGUCCUUGAUUUUUGAUGUGAUUUUUUUUUCAGCACUAAAGAAGAAUUUAAAUACAAAAUAGAAUGUUAUAUAUCUUGUAGACAGUCAAAUAUUUGAUGUUUUAUGGGACAUAAUCAUUUGGGAAGUUUUUGUUGUAAAUGAAGAGUUAGUUUGUUGCUAUUAAUUUGUUUGACACAUAAGUUCAUUCCUAAAAGUUAGAGAUGUUACAUAAAGAAGGGUUGAGGACUUUAUUUCAGAAGUCAUUUAAUUUUUUCUUUAUUUUCUUUCAGAUUUUGUAUGGUUUAUUCAGAAGUGCCAAAUUUCAGUGAACCCAACCCAGAUUAUCGAGGACAGCAGAACAAAGGGGCACAGAGUGAACAGAAGAAUAAUUCCAUGAAUAGUAAUAUGGGUACAGGUACAUUUGGACCAGUGGGUAAGAUUUUGUUUGUGUGUUUCAUUUGUGAUCAGGUAUAAGAAUGAAGAGAGCUGUAAAGAUUCACGUGAAAAGCAACGUCUUUAGGCAUAAAUUAGUGAUAAAGGUGAACUACCAGUAAACAGGGAAUCCCCAAAGGGCUGAUUUUCUAGAAAGUUGAUAAACUUAAGCCAGUUUAUUGAGAAUUCUAAGUUUUUGU
Molecule: long non-coding RNA, 1896 nt
Filed under: Homo sapiens (human)
Lineage: Eukaryota; Metazoa; Chordata; Mammalia; Primates; Hominidae
Description: HSALNT0045070
Source: RNAcentral